UGGGGAAUCUUGCGCAAUGGGGGAAACCCUGACGCAGCGACGCCGCGUGCGGGAUGAAGGCCUUCGGGUUGUAAACCGCUUUCAGCAGGGACGAGGCCUUAUGGUGACGGUACCUGCAGAAGAAGCUCCGGCUAAAUACGUGCCAGCAGCCGCGGUAAUACGUAUGGAGCAAGCGUUAUCCGGAUUCAUUGGGCGUAAAGCGCUCGUAGGCGGUCUGUUAGGUCGGCAAGUUAAAUCCGGGGGCUCAACCCCCGUCCGCUUCCGAUACCGGCAGACUUGAGUUUGGUAGGGGAAGGUGGAAUUCCUAGUGUAGCGGUGGAAUGCGCAGAUAUUAGGAAGAACACCGGUGGCGAAGGCGGCCUUCUGGACCAUAACUGACGCUGAGGAGCGAAAGCUAGGGGAGCGAACAGG
RNAcentral lists this ribosomal RNA (411 nucleotides) under Verrucomicrobiota bacterium. Its description in RNAcentral is "Verrucomicrobia bacterium partial 16S ribosomal RNA". It matches the Rfam family "Bacterial small subunit ribosomal RNA", at positions 355 to 776 of the family's 1533-position model. Lineage: Bacteria; Pseudomonadati; Verrucomicrobiota. The record is from RNAcentral.